This 605-nucleotide long non-coding RNA is filed under the name Solanum tuberosum (potato). Its description in RNAcentral is "long non-coding RNA (STUB_LNC004049)". Lineage: Eukaryota; Viridiplantae; Streptophyta; Magnoliopsida; Solanales; Solanaceae. The record is from RNAcentral.
CCCUGCCUAUGCUAAAUUAUUUUAUUCAUUGGAAUUCAUCACCUGAAAUGUGCAAAUAAAGAAAGAAGUAGUUUUCUUAUUCAAAAUGCGUAUAGGAAACGAAGUCUAUUACAAUAUUUAACUAUGCCCUCAAUCUCGAGCCAGAAAUAACAAAUUGAAGUCAUGUUUGAAGAUAGUGAAGGGCAGAAAGCCACGUUUAUUACAAUAUUUCUCCUUCUCCUGCCGCUCCUUCUCCUGCCGCUGCAUCUCCUCCUCCUGCUUCUUGUUGUUCUUCUUCUGAUGAUGAUGAUGAUGAUGAUUCUCCAGAUGAACUUUCUUCUUGAAAGGGAAUACCUGGACAAAGUUAUAUACAAACUUUGAGAAGAAUUAGAAAUGAUUUACACUUGUUUCAAGUAAAAAAUCAGACCUACAAAUUAGAGAAUGCCACCAAAGUCAAACAAAGAAGGCGCCCAAAUCGCAAUGUCUCUAUGAAAAUGUUCAUUGGCUCAGUUGCAUGUUUUAACUUUUAAAUAUAAAUUUGAAAGGAAUAGAUAAUCCUGACCUUAAGUCUCAUUUAGGACAUCACAAGAACUAAAAUACAAAAUUCAGCGGAAACAAACUGGUAC